RNAcentral lists this small RNA (253 nucleotides) under uncultured Sphingomonadaceae bacterium. Its description in RNAcentral is "contains 16S-23S intergenic spacer region". It matches the Rfam family "Bacterial small subunit ribosomal RNA", at positions 524 to 776 of the family's 1533-position model. Lineage: Bacteria; Pseudomonadati; Pseudomonadota; Alphaproteobacteria; Sphingomonadales; Sphingomonadaceae. The record is from RNAcentral.
UACGGAGGGGGCUAGCGUUGUUCGGAAUUACUGGGCGUAAAGCGCACGUAGGCGGCUUUACAAGUCAGAGGUGAAAGCCCGGAGCUCAACUCCGGAAUUGCCUUUGAGACUGUAUCGCUUGAAUCAUGGAGAGGCGGGUGGAAUUCCGAGUGUAGAGGUGAAAUUCGUAGAUAUUCGGAAGAACACCAGUGGCGAAGGCGGCCCGCUGGACAUGUAUUGACGCUGAGGUGCGAAAGCGUGGGGAGCAAACAGG